This 379-nucleotide ribosomal RNA is filed under the name Lysobacterales bacterium. Its description in RNAcentral is "bacterial SSU rRNA". It matches the Rfam family "Bacterial small subunit ribosomal RNA", at positions 1 to 377 of the family's 1533-position model. The record is from RNAcentral. RNAcentral also lists the same sequence under 1 other name. Lineage: Bacteria; Pseudomonadati; Pseudomonadota; Gammaproteobacteria; Lysobacterales.
AGUUUCAACUGAAGAGUUUGAUCCUGGCUCAGAGUGAACGCUGGCGGCAGGCCUAACACAUGCAAGUCGAGCGGCAGCGCGGGGGCAACCCUGGCGGCGAGCGGCGGACGGGUGAGGAAUACAUCGGAAUCUGCCUUGUUGUGGGGAAUAACGUAGGGAAACUUACGCUAAUACCGCAUGAGACCGUAAGGUGAAAGUGGGGGAUCGCAAGACCUCACGCGACAAGAUGAGCCGAUGUCGGAUUAGCUAGUUGGUGGGGUAAUGGCCUACCAAGGCGACGAUCCGUAGCUGGUCUGAGAGGAUGAUCAGCCACACUGGGACUGAGACACGGCCCAGACUCCUACGGGAGGCAGCAGUGGGGAAUAUUGGACAAUGGGCG